ACUCCUACGGGAGGCAGCAGUGGGGAAUUUUGGACAAUGGGGGCAACCCUGAUCCAGCCAUGCCGCGUGAGUGAGGAAGGCCUUCGGGUUGUAAAGCUCUUUCGGCCGGAACGAAAUCGCGUACGUGAAUAACGUGCGUGGAUGACGGUACUGGAAGAAGAAGCACCGGCUAACUACGUGCCAGCAGCCGCGGUAAUACGUAUGGUGCGAGCGUUAAUCGGAAUUACUGGGCGUAAAGCGUGCGCAGGCGGUUCUGCAAGUCAGAUGUGAAAUCCCCGGGCUUAACCUGGGAACUGCGUUUGAAACUACGGAGCUAGAGUACGGCAGAGGGGGGUGGAAUUCCGCGUGUAGCAGUGAAAUGCGUAGAUAUGUGGAGGAACACCGAUGGCGAAGGCAGCCCCCUGGGCCGAUACGGACGCUCAGGCACGAAAGCGUGGGGAGCAAACAGGAUUAGAUACCCUGGUAGUCCACGCCCUAAACUAUGUCAACUAGUUGUCGGGAAAGCAAUUUCUUGGUAACGAAGCUAACGCGUGAAGUUGACCGCCUGGGGAGUACGGUCGCAAGAUUAAAACUCAAAUGAAUUGACGG
This 588-nucleotide ribosomal RNA is filed under the name uncultured Rhodocyclaceae bacterium. RNAcentral's name for it is "bacterial SSU rRNA". It matches the Rfam family "Bacterial small subunit ribosomal RNA", at positions 335 to 916 of the family's 1533-position model. Lineage: Bacteria; Pseudomonadati; Pseudomonadota; Betaproteobacteria; Rhodocyclales; Rhodocyclaceae. The record is from RNAcentral.